Molecule: long non-coding RNA, 429 nt
Organism: Bos taurus (domestic cattle)
Lineage: Eukaryota; Metazoa; Chordata; Mammalia; Artiodactyla; Bovidae
Source: Ensembl
AUUCUUGCCUGGAGAAUCCCCAUGGACAGAGGAACCUGGAAGGCUGCAGUCCUUGGGGUUAGAAAGAGUCGAAGCAACUAAGCACAGCACAGCAAUAAGGAUAUCUGGGUAUUUCUUUGAAUCAAUGGAGGCUCCUAUGAAACAAUCUUGGAUCCUUUGAUGGAGUGAGCACAAGCACAUCAGACAAAAAGCAUGCUUUUGGACCCUUCCUCACUCACCAGCUUGCUGCUUCUAGAGGGGUCAUUGGAACAGAACUUUACAGUUCCUGGUGAAAAAAAAUUGGAGCUGAGACUAACGUGUCUGAAAGACUAACGUGUCCCUGAAAGAAAUUCCUGUCCAGGGACUUCCCUGGUGGUCCAGUUAUUAAGACAUCACCUUCCAAUGCAGCAAGUGAGGAUUUUAACCCUCGUCAGGGAACUAAGAUCCCAC